UCCAGCGGCUAUAUCGCCCUGCAGCUCACAGCAUGCAGCCCACUGAAGCUCAGCAGGUGUGAGCCUGGUCAGUAUCUGGACGGGAGACCUCCUGGGAAACACUAAGGUUGCUGCUGGAA
Molecule: ribosomal RNA, 119 nt
Filed under: Lepisosteus oculatus (spotted gar)
Lineage: Eukaryota; Metazoa; Chordata; Actinopteri; Semionotiformes; Lepisosteidae
Source: RNAcentral